RNAcentral lists this unclassified non-coding RNA (288 nucleotides) under Hevea brasiliensis (rubber tree). The record is from RNAcentral. Lineage: Eukaryota; Viridiplantae; Streptophyta; Magnoliopsida; Malpighiales; Euphorbiaceae.
GAAGAUGGUAAGCUGAUCUGAAGUAGGGACAGUAGCAUUUGGUCCACAUGUUGCCAUUGAUACAGGCCUGGAGCUGUUGGUCCAGGGAAGAACCCCUUCCUUGCAAGAUCCCAUGUUCUCAUCAGCUCCAUUAGUAGCAGGCAGCUCCUCGCCAGCUUUGGCCUUCACUUCCUCAUAGGAAUCAGAAUCACCCUCCAUUUGAAGAAGACCAGAGAGUAUAACCCCCAAAUUUCUUGCCUCUCUUCCUCUUGGGAAACACAAAAAACAAAGGAUUUUAAGACAAAGGAA